This 824-nucleotide long non-coding RNA is filed under the name Equus caballus (horse). RNAcentral's name for it is "lncRNA (ENSECAG00000059002.1)". Lineage: Eukaryota; Metazoa; Chordata; Mammalia; Perissodactyla; Equidae. The record is from RNAcentral.
CAGCGGUCUGUGCAUCAGGAAGCAGGUCUCCGUCAGACACAGACCCUGCUGACACCUUGAUCUUGGACUUCCUAGCCUCCAGAACUCUAUCUCCUCCUUAACCUCAGGCCUGGGUUUUGAUAUCAACGGCUCAACGAAGCUCUUCUGACCAUGCUAUCUCAGCUGAUGAACUUGUGGAGGGCAGAGGCCAUGUCUUCCCUUUCCAGUACAUAGCCAGGCUCCAGCUCAUUCCAGACACUCAAGACAUGACUGCGUUAUGGAAAGGAAGAACUACCAAACCAGAGAAGCCAGAAAGGAAGAAUGAAUUUCAAUGUUGCCUGUGUAGUUUAAAUUUCUCACAGACAAAAGUUUUGGGGUCUGGCAAGAUUAAGCUUCUAAACCACUGUUUUCUAAGGCCUCUUUCUGCUAUCAGUCUGGAACAAGGAGCUGGAGGAAGUGGAGGCAAGGCGGAAGGAGAAAAAAGAAUCAUCGAACGUUUGUGCAUGCAGAAGAGUUAGAGUCAUCUUGGGAGCUAAAUACAAGAGUCAGAACAAUCGGGAAAUCAUAAUUUUGGCAGAAAGACAAAGCAGACGAAAAGAGGAUGCAGUUGCCAAAUGGCUAAUCAAUGUAUGUGGUUAAAAUUCCAACUUAAAAAAAUGAGGAACCAGAUCUGCAAAAACUUAAGAGGUCCAGGCGAGUCACGGAAGGGGAAGACCAGAUCUGGGACGGCUACAACAAGCAGGAUCCAACCACACAAGCUAACUUUUUCCUCAGCCAAUGGCCUUUAAAUAUUUUCUGUAAUAUAGGAACCAGUAGUAUAUACAGUAAAAUGCAGCCGUUAAUUC